RNAcentral lists this ribosomal RNA (769 nucleotides) under uncultured Pseudoalteromonadaceae bacterium. RNAcentral's name for it is "bacterial SSU rRNA". It matches the Rfam family "Bacterial small subunit ribosomal RNA", at positions 28 to 776 of the family's 1533-position model. Lineage: Bacteria; Pseudomonadati; Pseudomonadota; Gammaproteobacteria; Alteromonadales; Pseudoalteromonadaceae. The record is from RNAcentral.
AUUGAACGCUGGCGGCAGGCCUAACACAUGCAAGUCGAGCGGAAACGAGUUAUCUGAACCUUCGGGGAACGAUAACGGCGUCGAGCGGCGGACGGGUGAGUAAUGCCUAGGAAAUUGCCCUGAUGUGGGGGAUAACCAUUGGAAACGAUGGCUAAUACCGCAUGAUGCCUACGGGCCAAAGAGGGGGACCUUCGGGCCUCUCGCGUCAGGAUAUGCCUAGGUGGGAUUAGCUAGUUGGUGAGGUAAGGGCUCACCAAGGCGACGAUCCCUAGCUGGUCUGAGAGGAUGAUCAGCCACACUGGAACUGAGACACGGUCCAGACUCCUACGGGAGGCAGCAGUGGGGAAUAUUGCACAAUGGGCGCAAGCCUGAUGCAGCCAUGCCGCGUGUAUGAAGAAGGCCUUCGGGUUGUAAAGUACUUUCAGUCGUGAGGAAGGCGGCGUCGUUAAUAGCGGCGUUGUUUGACGUUAGCGACAGAAGAAGCACCGGCUAACUCCGUGCCAGCAGCCGCGGUAAUACGGAGGGUGCGAGCGUUAAUCGGAAUUACUGGGCGUAAAGCGCAUGCAGGUGGUUUGUUAAGUCAGAUGUGAAAGCCCGGGGCUCAACCUCGGAAUAGCAUUUGAAACUGGCAGACUAGAGUACUGUAGAGGGGGGUAGAAUUUCAGGUGUAGCGGUGAAAUGCGUAGAGAUCUGAAGGAAUACCGGUGGCGAAGGCGGCCCCCCGGACAGAUACUGACACUCAGAUGCGAAAGCGUGGGGAGCAAACAUG